AGGCUACUGUCUGGACGCAGCAAGACGCGGCGCCGACCCAUUUGCCCAUGGCACGUCCCGUCGCAGGUACGGCAUCGCUCCUCUAUCUGUCGCUCUUGGCCUCUUCUCUCUUUUGGUGUCGUUGACUGGGCGCCUUUUCUUUUUCUGGUGUUUCACUCUCUGCAGUCGGUGCUGUGCAUUCUGGUACGUGCGGCACCUCUCUCUACUCUCGACAGUGUGCUUGCACUUUAUUAUACACUUGUAGUGGAACUGCUUAUCGACACAAAUUCGUCUACACAGGCGUACCCCCUUGGGCGCCAUCGCACUCGCUCUUCUUUUUCUCUUGAUUUUAGUGGUUUCUUCUGCCUUGUGCAUGUGCUGGCGAUGGGCGGCGUACGCAUCGCCCGAUGCAACCCCAAGUUGCUCGACUUUGUUACAUGGGCUGUUAUGAAAGGGUGCCGCCUCUUCCAGCGUGUCCACGUCACUCCGCUGGGCCUUGUUGCCACUGAGCGGAUUCCGGAGUUCGACUUUGUCGCCGUCGUCCCCGUCGAGGCAACGCAGAGCCUGCUGAGCAUCGCCGAUGACCCAAGCUUUGCCUUGAAGGUGUCUGCCGAGCGACACGGUGAGCCUGUGCCGUUCUGGGAGGACCUGACACGUGGCUCCUUCGUGUUUCUGGGGUUUCUCACCAAGGCGCUUCUCACUGGUCAUCCGCGCGGCGUGCAGACUUAUUUGGAUGUGCUGCCGUUUGACCCGGCGAUGCCGAUUGGUAAAGUGGCAGAUGCGGCGCAGACUACGAAAGGCUACAAGGAGUGGGCGGCGCCGCUCGUGGCGCAGUGCAAAGUGGAGGAGAGCGACUUCGACGCUGCUUUCCGCCACGUCUACUGCCUCUUCCGCCGUCACGCGAUUCCGUUCUGGUCGACUAGUGAUGUCGGCGGCUCGGGGCACCCCUAUUUCCGGCAAUUCCCGUAUGCGCGGCGAGGGCAGGGGGAGCUGAUGGGUAUGGUGCCGGUCAUGGACUUGGCGCUGCACUCGCCACAGCCGAACGCCAUGAUUGGGUAUCCAGAUGAGGAAAUGUUGCAGUGGCUUUCGCUUCACAAGAAGGCAGCGGUGCAGCAGGAGAAAGGUUACUUUGUAAUGCAGGCAUUCCGCGACAUCGAAGAGGGUGAGGUAAUAUCGGUUAAUAAGAACGCGUACUUCAACUUCGACGACGACGCUUUCGAGGCGUGGUUUGGAUACCCAAAUGUGUCUCAGGUUUCGGCGGAGGGGAGCGGAGAGCUCGGCAGUGGGAGCAAGUCAAACGGAGGAGAGGGCGCGGCAGUAAACUGCGCCUUCUGAUACGCGCAUGUGUGUGUGCGUGUGGACAUGGUGCUUCCCACUUCGAGCACGCGUUGCUGCUCGCAUCUGCUGCUGCUGAUACUGCGUGUACGACAUGAGCCUUGAAUGCGCGGAAUGCAAAUGCCUUCUUUGCUCCGCGUCUCCCAUACUGAUGGCGACAAGAGAGCAUGUGUGCCGCGAGGGGGGGGGGAGAAAGAGUGGUGUGGAGGAGGAGCAGAAGAAAAAGAUGAUGACCAUCAUGCGCUGUUGGGGUUCAACAAGGGACCAACGUGCGCAGAGAGGAUUGCUGAAAACAGUGGCUGCACUUCAUGCUUGUCAGAGCUGUCUGGGGCGGGGCUGGUCAUAUUCCGUCUCCUGUGAUCCACUUUUUUCCCUUUGUGUUGUGACCACCCCUCCUCGAGCCCCGCCUCCACUUGGGCUCUAUUCAACUCCGCGUGUUUCUCCCUCUGUGGUCUCGCCACUUUUCCCCAUUCUGUGCUUGCAUGACGCGUUGAGUGGGUGGGAGAGGUGCUGCAGUCUGACAGGGCGACAGAGGGGAGGAGGCGGGGAGUAGCAAAGGGGGUGCUGAUAUGUCUUUACAGAUCUUCCGGCACACAAGCUGUAAAAGAAAGACGAUUCUAAAGCCGAGGAUAGAUGAACCACCACUCCUUACUCCACAGCCACGGAGCGAGGCAGGCGAAUGUCUCUGGCGGCGCAGCUUGAUGCCGAGGGAAAGGGAGGGGCUGUCACGCUUAAAGAUGACCGCGUUCGGUGAUGGUUUGCCAUGCCAAGCCCACCACUUUUGUGUACUGCGGCUAGUCUGCACAUCUACCGAGGCGCGCUUGCGGGUAAACGCAUGCGUAGGCGGAUUGAAGAGAGAGUGGGGUGUGGGUAAUCUUGCUUGCUUCCCGCACUGCACUGCUCAUAUCUCAUGUCGUCGCACUCUCGCUCUCUCAUGCCCUUUUCUUGUCUGCAGAUCUCAACGUUGAGGAAACAGUGGCAUUCACUGAGGCAGGUGUGGCGCUCCUUUUCCUUUGCCUGCCGUCCUCUUCUCCGUUUGGUGCCGCGGGCUCAUCCUAUCACUUCCUCUCCUCUCUCUGCUGCACACUUCUGCGCGUGCACACACUUGUACGGGACGUUGCCACUCCACACACGAGUUCUGGGACACCGGCCUGGUUGAGUGAACGACAUAG
This 2486-nucleotide unclassified non-coding RNA is filed under the name Leishmania donovani. RNAcentral's name for it is "gene:LdHU3.35.5040(CDS-product:hypothetical_prote in_conserved)". The record is from RNAcentral. Lineage: Eukaryota; Euglenozoa; Kinetoplastea; Trypanosomatida; Trypanosomatidae.